Molecule: non-coding RNA, 109 nt
Filed under: Trichobilharzia regenti
Lineage: Eukaryota; Metazoa; Platyhelminthes; Trematoda; Strigeidida; Schistosomatidae
Description: Eukaryotic large subunit ribosomal RNA
Rfam family: Eukaryotic large subunit ribosomal RNA
Source: Rfam by way of RNAcentral
UCUUCGAUAUCAGCUCUCUUUAUCAUUGUGAAGCAAAUUCACAAAGCGUUGAAUUUUUCACCCGAUAAUAGAGAAAGUGAGAUGAGUUUAAAUUUCAAUGAGACUUAUU